ACUUAAAUAGCUUAAUAUAGAGCAUAACAUUGAAGAUGUUAGGGAAAUUGAUUUAAUUUUUAAGUA
This 66-nucleotide transfer RNA is filed under the name Balta jinlinorum. Its description in RNAcentral is "tRNA-Phe". Lineage: Eukaryota; Metazoa; Arthropoda; Insecta; Blattodea; Pseudophyllodromiidae. The record is from RNAcentral.